RNAcentral lists this ribosomal RNA (413 nucleotides) under uncultured microorganism. RNAcentral's name for it is "bacterial SSU rRNA". It matches the Rfam family "Archaeal small subunit ribosomal RNA", at positions 330 to 745 of the family's 1478-position model. The record is from RNAcentral.
GUGCACCAGGCGCGAAACUUCACACUGUGCGAAAGCACGAUGAGGGAAUCCCAAGUGCUUGCACGUAAGUGUAAGCUGUUUCUCUGUCUAAAACGCAGAGAGAGUAAGGGCUGGGUAAGACGGGUGCCAGCCGCCGCGGUAAUACCUGCAGCUCAAGUGGUGACCGUUAUUAUUGGGCCUAAAACGUCCGUAGCCGGUUUAAUAAAUGCCUGGGUAAAUUGUGUAGCUUAACUAUACGAAUUCCGGGUAGACUGUUAAACUUGAGACCGGGAGAAGUUAGAGGUACUCCUGGGGUAGAGGUGAAAUUCUGUAAUCCUAGGGGGACCACCAGUGGCGAAGGCGUCUAACUAGAACGGGUCUGACGGUGAGGGACGAAGCCCUGGGGCGCAAACGGGAUUAGAUACCCCCAUAGU